RNAcentral lists this ribosomal RNA (468 nucleotides) under uncultured bacterium. Its description in RNAcentral is "partial 16S ribosomal RNA". It matches the Rfam family "Bacterial small subunit ribosomal RNA", at positions 28 to 507 of the family's 1533-position model. The record is from RNAcentral.
GACGAACGCUGGCGGCGUGCUUAACACAUGCAAGUCGAACGGUAAGGCCCUGCUUUUGUGGGGUGCUCGAGUGGCGAACGGGUGAGUAACACGUGAGUAACCUGCCCUUGACUUUGGGAUAACUUCAGGAAACUGGGGCUAAUACCGGAUAGGAGCUCCUGCUGCAUGGUGGGGGUUGGAAAGUUUCGGCGGUUGGGGAUGGACUCGCGGCUUAUCAGCUUGUUGGUGGGGUAGUGGCUUACCAAGGCUUUGACGGGUAGCCGGCCUGAGAGGGUGACCGGCCGCAUUGGGACAGAGAUACGGCCAAGACUGCUACGGGGGGCAGCAGUGGGGAAUAUUGCACAAUGGGCGGAAGCCGUAUGCAGCAACGCCGCGUGCGGGAUGACGGCCUUCGGGUUGUAACCCGCUUUCGCCUGUGACGAAGCGUGAGUGACGGUAAUGGGUAAAGAAGCACCGGCUAACUACGUG